This 110-nucleotide ribosomal RNA is filed under the name Meriones unguiculatus (Mongolian gerbil). The record is from RNAcentral. Lineage: Eukaryota; Metazoa; Chordata; Mammalia; Rodentia; Muridae.
CGCUGCUACCCAACCCUGAACAUGCUUGAUCUUGUCUGAGCUCAGAAGCUGAGCAAGGUUAGGCCUCUGUAGUACUUAGAUGGGAGAGGAGAGUUUUAUUGUUGUAGUUU